UACGGAGGGGGCUAGCGUUGUUCGGAAUUACUGGGCGUAAAGCGCACGUAGGCGGACGGAGAAGUCAGAGGUGAAAUCCCAGGGCUCAACCUUGGAACUGCCUUUGAAACUUUCUGUCUUGAGGUCGUGAGAGGUGAGUGGAAUUCCGAGUGUAGAGGUGAAAUUCGUAGAUAUUCGGAGGAACACCAGUGGCGAAGGCGGCUCACUGGCACGAUACUGACGCUGAGGUGCGAAAGCGUGGGGAGCAAACAGG
RNAcentral lists this ribosomal RNA (253 nucleotides) under uncultured bacterium. RNAcentral's name for it is "partial 16S ribosomal RNA". It matches the Rfam family "Bacterial small subunit ribosomal RNA", at positions 524 to 776 of the family's 1533-position model. The record is from RNAcentral.